GACGAACGCUGGCGGCGUGCUUAACACAUGCAAGUCGAACGGAAAGGCCCUGCUUUUGUGGGGUGCUCGAGUGGCGAACGGGUGAGUAACACGUGAGUAACCUGUCCUUGACUUUGGGAUAACUUCAGGAAACUGGGGCUAAUACCGCAUAGGAUCUCCUGCUGCAUGGUGGGCGUGGGAAAGUUUCGGCGGUUGGUGAUGGACUCGCGGCUUAUCAGCUUGUUGGUGGGGUAGUGGCUUACCAAGGCUUUGACGGGUAGCCGGCCUGAGAGGGUGACCGGCCACAUUGGGACUGAGCUACGGCCCAGACUCCUAUGGUAGGCAGCAGUGGGGAGUAUUGCACAGUAGGCGGAAGCCUGAUGCGGCCACGCCGCGUGCGGGAUGACGUGCUUCGGGUUGUAAACCGCUUUCGCCUGUGCCGAAGCGUGAGUGACGGUAAUGGGUAAAGAAGCACCGGCUAACUACGUG
RNAcentral lists this ribosomal RNA (468 nucleotides) under uncultured bacterium. RNAcentral describes it as "partial 16S ribosomal RNA". It matches the Rfam family "Bacterial small subunit ribosomal RNA", at positions 28 to 507 of the family's 1533-position model. The record is from RNAcentral.